This 2146-nucleotide ribosomal RNA is filed under the name Chloroflexota bacterium. RNAcentral describes it as "Chloroflexi bacterium partial 23S ribosomal RNA". It matches the Rfam family "Bacterial large subunit ribosomal RNA", at positions 1 to 1977 of the family's 2925-position model. The record is from RNAcentral. Lineage: Bacteria; Bacillati; Chloroflexota.
UACCAAGCUACGAAGAGCCAAUGGUGAAUGCCUUGGCGCCGAACACCGAUGAAGGACGUGAUAGGCUGCGAUAAGCCACGGGGAGCCGCCGAAUAGGCUUUGAUCCGUGGAUAUCCGAAUGGGGAAACCCGGCACCUCUUAUCGGGUGUCACUCCUGCCUGAAUCUAUAGGGCAGGUAGAGGGAACGAGGGGAAUUGAAACAUCUCAGUACCCUGAGGAAAAGAAAGCAACAGCGAUUCCCGGAGUAGCGGCGAGCGAAAUGGGAAGAGCCUAAACCGAAUCCGGUGGUAAAGCCUGGUGGCGUUGCCGGAUCGGUGUUGUGGGACAUCCCCGACCGAGCACCAGAUCGGUCAAGGAGUUACAAAGCAGGCAGAUAGCGGAACCGUACAGGAAAGGCGGGCCGCAGAGGGUGACAGCCCCGUACGCGAAAUCUGCUUGCCUCCUGGGAUUGCUCCCGAGUAGCGCCGGUUCCGUGAAGGCCGGCGUGAAUCUGCGAGGACCACCUCGUAAGGCUAAAUAUGUGUCGGCGACCGAUAGCGAACUAGUACCGUGAGGGAAAGGUGAAAAGUACCCCGGGAGGGGAGUGAAAUAGUACCUGAAACCGUUGGUUUACAAGCAGUCAGAGCGUCGUCUCAACCGAUGAUCUUCGGAUCGUCAAUCAGAGAUCGCGAUGGCGUGCCUUUUGAAGAAUGAGCCAACGAGUUACGGUAUGUGGCGAGAUUAACCUGUGAAGGGAAGUCGGAGCGAAAGCGAGUCAUAACUGGGCGUACAGUCGCAUGCCGUAGACCCGAAGCCGGGUGAUCUAUCCAUGGGCAGUGUGAAGCGGGGGUAAGACUCCGUGGAGGCGCGAACCGACCUAGGUUGAAAACUGGGCGGAUGACCUGUGGAUAGGGGUGAAAGGCCAAACAAACCCGGAGAUAGCUGGUUCUCCGCGAAAUGCAUUUAGGUGCAGCGUUGUGCGUUCAACCAUGGAGGUAGAGCACUGGAUGGGCUAGGGGGCCGACAAGCUUACCAACCUCAGCCAAACUCCGAAUGCCAUGGUUCCAGAGCACAGCAGUGAGACCCCGGGGGAUGAGCUUCGGGGUCGAAAGGGAAACAGCCCAGACCGCCAACUAAGGUCCCUAAUUUCUAGCUAAGUGGUAAACGAUGUGGGAUUGCACAGACAGCCAAGAGGUUGGCUUAGAAGCAGCCACCCUUGAAAGAGUGCGUAACAGCUCACUGGUCGAGUGAUCCUGCGCGGACAAUGUAACGGGGCUAAAGCUAGAAACCGAAGUUGCGGAUUUCUGCCAUUAGACAGGAGUGGUAGCGGAGCGUCGGGCUUGGAGUGAAGCGUCAGCGCAAGCUGGUGUGGACUGAGUCCGAGUGAGAAUGUUGGUAUGAGUAGCGAGAGAGGGGUGAGAAACCUUUCCGCCGAAAGCCCAAGGGUUCCUGGGGAAGGCUAAUCCUCCCAGGGUGAGUCGGGAGCUAAGGCGAGGCCGACAGGCGUAGUCGAUGCACAACCGGUUGAUAUUCCGGUACCGCUGUGAACGCGUCCAGGCUUAACUGGUGUUGCUAAGGGGAUACCUGUCCCGGUAAGGGACAGGAGAAACCGACCCACACCGGAGCGGCCAGCAACGCGGGGACGCAGAGAGGUAGGUGAACCCAGGCGACGGUAGUUCCUGGGGUAAGCGUGUAGGGCGGGGCCCAGGUAAGUCCGGUCCCCAUAAAGCCUGAGGCGUGAUACCGAACCGCAUGAGGUGAAGUCACUGAUCCUGUACUGCCAAGAAAAGCCGCUAGCGAGCUUUCACGGCGCCCGUACCCCAAACCAACACAGGUGGGCAGGUAGAGAAUACCAAGGCGAUUGGGAGAACUAUGGUUAAGGAACUCGGCAAAUUACAUCCGUAACUUUGGGAUAAGGAUGACCCUAGUAAAGUAAUGGACUUCGCGUCCGGAGCUUGAUUGGGUGGCACAAACCAGGGGAAAGCGACUGUUUACUAAAAACACAGCAGCGUGCGAAGUCGUAAGACGCUGUAUACGCUGUGACGCCUGCCCGGUGCUGGAAGGUUACGGGGAGGGGUUAGCCGUAAGGCGAAGCUCUGAACCUAAGCCCCAGUAAACGGCGGCCGUAACUAUAACGGUCCUAAGGUAGCGAAAUUCCUUGUCGGGU